RNAcentral lists this small RNA (1381 nucleotides) under uncultured Chloroflexota bacterium. RNAcentral describes it as "bacterial SSU rRNA". The stretch from base 1 to 476 matches the Rfam family "Bacterial small subunit ribosomal RNA", at positions 1045 to 1533 of the family's 1533-position model. The record is from RNAcentral. Lineage: Bacteria; Bacillati; Chloroflexota.
AUGGCUGUCGUCAGCUCGUGUCGUGAGAUGUUGGGUUAAGUCCCGCAACGAGCGCAACCCCUACUGUGUGUUGUAUCACUCACACGGGACUGCCGAGAGAAACUCGGAGGAAGGUGGGGAUGACGUCAAGUCAGCAUGGCCCUUACGUCCUGGGCUACACCCACGCUACAAUGGCCGGUACAACGGGCUGCAAAACCGCGAGGUGGAGCUAAUCCCUUAAAGCCGGUCUCAGUUCGGAUUGUAGGCUGCAACUCGCCUGCAUGAAGCCGGAGUUGCUAGUAACCGCCGGUCAGCAUACGGCGGUGAAUGUGUUCCCGGGCCUUGUACACACCGCCCGUCACGUCAUGAAAGCUGGCAACACCCGAAGCCGGUGGGCCAACCCGCAAGGGGGGCAGCCGUCGAAGGUGGGGUUGGUGAUUGGGACGAAGUCGUAACAAGGUAGCCGUACCGGAAGGUGCGGCUGGAUCACCUCCUUUCUAGGGAGAUCCGAGUCUCGACUCUUGGUGGGGUCGAGGCGUUGAUGGCUCCUAGGGUUGAUCGCACGGUCGCUCGAGUAUCCCCGCCAGGUGGAGCUCGCCGGCGCCGGUCCGCAAGGAUCGGAUGUCGGAGGCCGAUACGCGACCUGGAAAGAACACCGAACCCACUCGAUCGCAUCCGGUUCGGGGAAUUCCUGUCACUCUUCAAGGGUCAAGGUGCAGCCGUCCGCGGCGACGACCGUGUCGUCACGUCAGGCACGGCAACCACCCGCGGAGGGCGAUUAGCUCAGCUGGUUAGAGCGCUGCCCUGAUAAGGCAGAGGUCUCUGGUUCGAGUCCAGAAUCGCCCACCAUCCCCUCCACCUGGCGCGGGGACGUAGCUCAGCUGGUAGAGCAUCUCCUUUGCAAGGAGAGGGUCAGGAGUUCGAGUCUCCUCGUCUCCACCACAGUCCGAGCGUCCGCCGCCAUCGCAAACUGAACAGAUCGGGUCCAUCCCCGAAACCACCUACCGUCCAUCACCCGGGACCCUGUCCCGCAUCGAGCCCCUGAUCCGUGUCCUCCCCGUCCGCGGGCAGGCCACGGACCAGCGGAUCGCUGGGCGACGGAGCGACUUCGGUCGUUCGGUCGAGGGACGCGUCUUCGGGCGCGUCGCACCUUAACAACUGGAUAUGUUUCGGCAGAUUGAAUGAAUCUUCGAUUUCGCCGAGUAGUCAAUACGAAAUGACCCCGAUCCGAUCCCAAUCAGCGACUGGCCGCCUGGUCAGAGGCUGGAGGGGGUCAAGCUACAAAGGGCACGGGGUGGAUGCCUUGGCGCCAAGAGCCGAUGAAGGACGCGGCAGGCUGCGAAAUGCUCCGGGGAGUCGCGAGCAGACUUUGAUCCGGAGAUGUCCGAAUGGGGAAACCCGG